This 208-nucleotide ribosomal RNA is filed under the name Flavoparmelia caperata. RNAcentral describes it as "partial small subunit ribosomal RNA". The record is from RNAcentral. Lineage: Eukaryota; Fungi; Ascomycota; Lecanoromycetes; Lecanorales; Parmeliaceae.
GUUUUCAUCUUAAUUUUAUUAUGAUUUUAUUUUUAUUUUAAAAAAAAGAAAAAAUUAAGAAUAAGGCAAUAAGAUACAUUUACAAGCGUUGCACGGCUGUCUUCAGUUAAUGUCGUGAGACUUUGGUUAGUUCCAUUAAAUUAACGUAAACCCUUACUUUAUUUUUUAUAUAGAGUAGUUCCCCACUAUAUUGGAUAUGAUAACAGGG